CGGGUUAGUUAUUGGCUUAGUCCCAGAGUCUCUUGAGGCCAUUGUUUAGAGGAGGACCAGGUCUAAAUUAAAAUUAAUCCUGGGCUACAAAGAUCAUUCAUUGCACUACGUCUUUACAGGUCUUGAAAGCUCUUUUAGUGAGUGACUUGUGAUGCCUCGGUGCUCCACUAAAAUCUACCUUACCUUACCUUAGCCUAGAAACAACAUAUGUUGGUCACUCCUGCUGUAGAAUCCCACGCCAUUUCCUUUUUAUGAUUGUCCUUAUAUGAGGGAUGAGAUGGCUCAAAGAUUAUUCCAUGAUUUUGGAUUUCCAGGAUCAGCAUUUCCUCAUCCAUGGUGUCAUUGGGGUGUCCCUAUAACGAGUUGUCCCUAUAAAGACAGCCACAUAGACAUAUAAGAAUAGAAUAGAAUAGAAUAGAAUAUUCCUUUAUUGAUCCCCCAUAGGGGAAAAUUUUUUGUCACAGCAGCAUCACAGACAAAGAGUGCAAAAAUGCAGUUAUAAAAACAAAUAUCAUCAUAUUAAGGAAAAGGAAAAAGGGAGAAUAAAAAUAAAAAUAUAUACAAUAUACACAAUUUAAGUGUCAGAAAAAAAAGUGGUGGUGUGAGUCCAGUUUUAUUACAGUUCGUUGUAAAGUCUUAUUGCAGAGGGGAGGAAUGACCUGUGGUAGCGCUCCAUCUUGCAAGGUGGGAGUCUCAGUCUGCUGCUGAAGGAGCUGCUUAAAGCCCCCACAGUCUGGUGCAGUGGGUGAGAGGGAUUGUCCAUGAUGGAUACAAGCUUUGCUAACAUCCUCCUCUCACCCACCUCCUCCAGGGAGUCCAAAGAGCAGUCCAGGACAGAACUGGCCCCAGAACUGCAGAGGAUCCAGAUGAGAGCUCACCAGGAGGCAGAGGUUCCUCAGCACGAUCCUCUCCAGUCUUCAUCAGGUGAGAAGUGAGGGCCACAGGUCUGAAGUGGUUGGGCUCCCUGGGGUGUGCUGUCUUGGGGACAGGAAUCACACAGGAAGUCUUCCACAGUGCUGGGACCCUCUCCAGACUCAGACUCAAGCUGAAGAUGUGCAGUAGCACCUCACUGAGCUGGUCUGCACAGUCCUUCAGGAGUCUGGAGCUGAUGCCGUCAGUACCCGUGGCCUUCCUUGGCUUCAUCUUCCUCAGCUCACUUCUCACCUGGUCAGCUGUUAUGGAGAGGCUGAGGGUAGUGCUGGAGGGGGUAGUGGAGAAUGAGUGGAGGGGGGUUGAUGAUGCUGGUGCCAGUUUGAUGAGUUGGGGGAGCAGAGUCAAAUCUAUUGGCUCACUCCCUGUCACCUGCUUCAGGUCCCCUCUCGUGGCCCCUGCUAUGACCUGAGAUGGAUUUCAGGCCUCUCCAGACCUCCCUCGUGUUGUUCUGUUGCAGAAGAUUUUCCAUCUUGGUCUUGUAGCUGGCCUUCCCCUCCCUGAUCUUCUUCUUCAGCUCCUUCUGCACCCUCCUCAGCUCCUCCUUGUCCCCGGUUUUAAAGACCCUCCUCUUCUCCUUCAGGAGGACUUAAAGUUCAGGGGUCACCCAAGGUUUGCUGUUGGAGAAACACCUUACUUUCCUGGUGGGUACGGUGUUCUCAACACAGAAGUUUAUGUAGUUCGUGAUACAAUCUGUCAUGGUGUCGAUGUCAUCACCAUAUGGGCCGCACAGUACAUCCCAGUCUGUGGUCUCAAAACAGUCCUACAGCGCCUCAGUGGCCUCCUCAGACCAACUCUUAACAUACCUGAUGGUGGGGGGUUGUUUCUUCACCAUAGGUAUGUAAAUGGGCUGCAGUCUCACCAGGUUGUGAUCUGAGCGGCCCAGCGGGGGGAGGGGGGAGGAGGUGAAUGCAUCCUUGGUGUCUGCAUACAGUAAGUCCAAAGUUUUAUUGUCUAUCGUUGGGCAGUUUACAUACUGGCUGAAGGUAGGGAGAGUGGAGGACAGCGAUGCAUGAUUAAAGUCUCCAGAGAUGAUGAUCAGAGACUGAGGGUGUGAUGUAUGUAGCUUGGACACUUCACUGUGGAGGAGUUCACAGGCUGCAGCAGCAUCAGCCGAGGGGGGGAUGUAAACAGUUAACGCGAUGACGUGCGAAAACUCCCUGGCCAGGUAAUAUGGCCGCAAACUCACAGCCAGCAGCUCAAUGUCCUUAGAGCUGUGCUAGUGCUCUUUAACACUGACGUGCCCAGCAUUACACCAUCUCUCAUUCACAUACACCGCUAUCCCGCCUCCUUUCUUCUUACCACUCUCCCAUACACUCUGGUCCACUCUGACGAGGUGAAAUCUGUCCAAAGUUACGACCGGGUCUGGAGUGAGUUCGUUCAGCCAUGACUCCGUGAGCAUCAUGAGGCUGCACUCCCGGUACUCCCACUGCAGCAGAGUCAGCGCUGUGAGCUCUUCCAUCUUGUUGGGGAGAGACCUCACGUUUCCCAUAAUAAUGGACAGGACAGUUGGCUUAGAAAGCAGUAGAUUGUGCCCUUCCAAAGGAGGAAAUCUACUUCUAGACUUCUAGAAUCAGCAUUUCCUCAUCCAUGGUGUCAUCUGGGUGAAAUGACGUCUAAAAAUCUUUCACUUGUUCGUUUCCGCCCGUUUGCAUGGGGAGAAAUACGAUCCUCCUGAAACCAGAGUGUUUUAUUUUGAAAAGAAGCCGGAUGUUUUAUUUUGUGUCUGUGCCCGACUUCCUUUCCAACACGGGUUAACCUGUGCUGAAUUUAUCUGGCAUGCUCUUUCGUCUGGAAAAAAAUAGAACGAAAUCUAUUUAAAUGCAGGGGGCCUGAAAGAAGUCGGUGGAAUUUGACACAUUAACUCUGAUGGAAACGAUCAGCGGCGAUCAGUGCCUACGGCCUUUUCGCCACUGUCUGCAUGAGGUAGAUUUUGGGGGUACUCUUCAGUGUUUCCACUAGAAUUUUUUUCAGCAGUGGCGCUUCUGUGUCGUUUCGGGUUGGGGGCGAUUUUCACUGUUAUCCCCACUCGCUUUCUGCUCAUGGAGCUACGCUGUCAUGUUCACAUUACAGUACGUUACCCGUGCUACUCGCUAUAUAGACUGUGUAUAAGCUUGAACGUUACCUGUCACAUUAAUGGAAGAGGGUCUGACAGGAUUUGAUGCGCUUUUCAAAGACUCAAAACAAGCCGAAAAUAACGUUGUGUAUGAAUAUAUGAAUGUUGUGAAUGAAUGUAGGGAAAGACUGUGCUUUUUCAGAUCUGAGCGUCCAGAACUUUUACUGCAGGUGGGUAGAAACAGUCAAACGUCACACUUUGGUCUUUGGACAUCACACAUCUCAUCACUUUUUCAAACUUGAGGGAGGAAACAUUUUUUUUCCCCCAGACCCUCAUAUUAAAUGUGAAUUCCUCUCCUCCCCCCUUUUGUAACGUAUGUGCAUAUCUUCUCCAGCCUUUCAGAACCUUUAGGCCCAAAAAUUGGGAUUCAUACGGUGCAAGAAAUCCGUGAGUUCAGCCGAGUCCUUGCUCUGCUACUUAAUGUGAUCAGAAUUUUCUGUUCGGGAUGUUUUUUGUCACAAAGGACUGACGUUCUUAUGCUGCUCUUGCUAACAGGACGCGGUACGACUCUGAAUGUAUGUCGAUAUAAUCAGACUGCUAAACCUUGAGUGGAUUGAACCCUGUAUCUUUGCACCACAGCCAGCAUCUAUGAUUUCCAGUUCUUUGUGAAAAGAAGUUCUUUCCAUGCGAUGACUCCCACUCCAGAGUCCUCUCUGUUUUUGAAGCCCUGAAAAUCAGGACCAUCCAGUCCUCCUUUAGUACAGUCCUUUUGAACAUUUCUCCGUUUUUUAACCGUGUGUCUUUAAAACGGUUUCCUCGGCUGAACGGUUGAACCUCCUACAGAACAAGAAGAUGAGCCGCUGAGAUCACUUACACUUCUUAAAAUCAUCUUCAUCGUCCACUUUCUCUUCCUCCUCGCCGACGGCUGCAGAUGAGGAUCUAAUAAAAGGCGGUCGAGAAAAUGGCUCCACCACAUCUGUGUAAUACACGGAGGUUAAAUGGGGAGGAAUUGGCUUUAGAUUGAAGUGAUUUGCGUGUUUUAGCCUGAAGUUCCAGCGCUGCUGCUGCUGCAAUAAUUGAAUUACUUCAAAAAUCAGACCAAAGUGAAGCUAUUCCUGCUCAACACACACGCACACACACACACUUAAACACACACACGCAGGCGUUCCUGGGGAGAUGCGUUCCUGCCUUCAUCUCUUUCAUGAGCGAGAGGCUUCAGAGGAUAAGCAGCAGAUCAAACACAGCACCGGUUAAAGCACAGCAAUUACACUUUCCACCUGAGGGAGGAAGAGGAGGAGGAGGAGGAGAGCGAGGGCGAGUGAGAAAGGGAGAGAGAGAGAGAGAGGACAGAUAAAGGCAGAGAGUGUGAGAAUAAGUGUAAUGAGAACAGAUUGUAGAUGAGGAAUUCUCAGCACUGCUGAAUAAAAUGGGUUCAGGGAGACGGGGAGUGUUCAGCUGUUUUGUGUUUUAAUAAGAUACGAUUGGCAGGAGCCCAAACAGUGUGUGUGUGUGUGUGUGUGUGUGUGUGUGUGUGUGUGUGUAGAUAUGAGCUAGUGUAUGAAGGUGCACAUAAACAAUCUGCCUAAACGUGCACACAAUAACACAUGUAAUCUCUGUUCUGUUGACUUUAAUAAUAGAUAAAACAUGAACUACUGAACAACACAUGGCUUCUCAUUUACAUCAGUGUGUGUGUGUGUGUGUGUGUAAAUGACAAAAAGAUUUUUUAAAAAAGCAUCACUAUAAUAAAACACACUUAACUGAGAGAUGAACAAACUCCAACUGGACAAGGUUUGAAGUCAAGAUUUGAUCACAGUUUUACUCUCCUCUCUUCUGAACUUUCGCAUUCAGGAUCCGUGAGUCCCUCUUUCAGGUCUUUGCACACUCGGUCUGGUACUUCAGGACAAUCUCAUGAUCAUGCACACUGAUGCACAAACUUUCAUCUGUCUUAUUUCUUCUCCAAAUGGGUGUAAUUUUCCUUAUCUUUAAAAAGACGCCCUCGGACACUGAUAUGUGCUCACUUGUCCAACAGUGUGUUUUUGAUUUGAUCUGAUUUCCGUCCUUAAAUAAGCUGGUCAGGAUCAAUUAGGAUCAGUUUCUUUCUCUUCUUUGAAUGUGUGGCUCCAGAAAUUCUGAAAACUGGACCAAACUGGACCCCUGACAUCCAUACCUGGGAUUUCCAACGCAUCUGGAACGGCUCCGAUCUGGAAUGGCGGCAAUUUUUGCCGUCCGCCAAGUCUUACCAGAUCCGUUGGUGAGGCGAAUUUCUUUGCUGAU
Molecule: non-coding RNA, 5260 nt
Organism: Xyrichtys novacula (pearly razorfish)
Lineage: Eukaryota; Metazoa; Chordata; Actinopteri; Labriformes; Labridae
Source: the annotation of a GenBank genome assembly